RNAcentral lists this ribosomal RNA (689 nucleotides) under Aurantiochytrium limacinum. Its description in RNAcentral is "partial Bacterial large subunit ribosomal RNA". It matches the Rfam family "Bacterial large subunit ribosomal RNA", at positions 801 to 1483 of the family's 2925-position model. The record is from RNAcentral. Lineage: Eukaryota; Bigyra; Thraustochytrida; Thraustochytriidae.
GGGAUGAGCUGUGGAUAGGGGUGAAAGGCCAAUCAAACUUCGUGAUAGCUGGUUCUCUCCGAAAUGCAUUUAGGUGCAGCGUCGUAUUAUAGCUUGGUGGAGGUAGAGCGACUGGUUGGUUGAGCGGGACUACAAUCUUAGCAAUGUCAGCCAAACUCCGAAUGCCACUAAUUGUGUUGUACGGCAGUGAGACUGUGGGGGAUAAGCUUCAUAGUCGAGAGGGAAACAGCCCAGAUCGCCGGCUAAGGUCCCCAAGUCGUGGCUAAGUGGGAAAGGAUGUGGGACUCCCAAAACAACCAGGAGGUUGGCUUAGAAGCAGCCAUCCUUGAAAGAGUGCGUAAUAGCUCACUGGUCGAGUGGUUCUGCGCCGACAAUGUAGCGGGGCUCAAGUACACCGCCGAAACCGCGGCAAUCAACAUGUGUUUGUUGGUUGGGUAGGGGAGCGUCGUGCACGACGGUGAAGCACCUGGGUAACUUGAUGGUGUGGAGUGUGUGCGAGUGAGAAUGCAGGCAUGAGUAACGAAUGAUAUGUGGAAAACAUAUCCGCCGGAUGACUAAGGGUUCCUGGGUUAAGCUAAUCUUCCCAGGGUGAGUCGGGACCUAAGGCGAGGCCGACAGGCGUAGUCGAUGGAUAACGGGUUGAUAUUCCCGUACCCGUGUGCGUGCGACAAGUGAUGAAUCUUAUGGUA